CUGGGAGAUGGAUGUUUACUUCA
Molecule: microRNA, 23 nt
Filed under: Cervus elaphus (red deer)
Lineage: Eukaryota; Metazoa; Chordata; Mammalia; Artiodactyla; Cervidae
Description: cel-miR-30b-3p
Source: RNAcentral